This 380-nucleotide ribosomal RNA is filed under the name uncultured eukaryote. RNAcentral describes it as "partial 18S ribosomal RNA". It matches the Rfam family "Eukaryotic small subunit ribosomal RNA", at positions 592 to 976 of the family's 1831-position model. The record is from RNAcentral.
CAAUAGCAUAUAUUAAAGUUGUUGCGGUUAAAAAGCUCGUAGUUGGAUUUCUGCUUAGGACAGCCGGUCCGCACUACGUGCGUGUAUCUGGUUUGGCCUGGGCAUCCUAUCCGAAGGGGAUACUGUGCUUGAUUGCAUGGUUUUCAGUCGGGUACUUUUACUUUGAGGAAAUUAGAGUGUUCACGGCAGGCAAUCGCCCUGAAUAUAUUAGCAUGGAAUAAUAAUAUAGGAUCUGAUGCCUAUUUUGUUGGUUUCUAGGUGUUAGAUGAUGAUUAAUAGGGACAAUUGGGGGCAUUCGUAUUAUGGCGUCAGAGGUGGAAUUCUUGGAUUGCCAUACGACGAACUACUGCGAAAGCAUUUGCCAAGGAUGUUUUCAUUGA